AGUUUUCAAAAGCUCUUACUCAUCAUUACCCCAAACUUUCCAAAUUAUCAGGAGGAUGGCUUCUGCACAAGGCUCUUGGUGGAUCUGGACAAAGAAAACUUACAGUCGUCCCCCCAGAAGCUGAGGGAUAUAAUACUCAGUAUUUAAGAUCUGUGAGUGGAGGGGGUAAAACACUUUGUACAUAGUUCCACUCCAGGAGGAACUAGACACAUUGCCUCUUCCUGUUGAUGCACAUGAAUUCCAGAAGAUGCCAAAGGCAACUUGCCAAGCCUGCGGGUUGUCUAUGCCUUUGCAAAUUUUGGCUGUUCAUGUUAAAUCAUGUUGCAUUGGCAGGUCAUCCACAGAGUACGACUCUCUCUACGAUGAUUGUUGUUCUUCCCCUGAUGUGUCUAUUGUUGGGGAGUUCUCCUCUGUGAACUCUGUGGAAACCACUGGUACAAGUACAUCCAGAAAGCCUUCCUGUGAUAUGUCUGAAUUAUCUGGAGUGAACUCUUCUGUGGCAGCCAAUAGUAACAGUACAUCUAUGUCUAAGGUAAUGGCAUUUAUGCAAUUCCUACAAUUGGUCUUACUUAAUAGAUAUUACACUCAUUCUAUUUUAAGUAGUACAUUUCUUGUUUUUCACUGGAGGUAAUAUUGAUAUCUUCUAUUCAGGGCUCAUGUCCAGUGUGCCUCAUGAUUUUCCCAUUGGAUUAUUUGGAAGUCCAUGCUAGCUUGUGUGGUGAAAGGUGACAAAUUAAAAAUGUUUGUUUAAUGUAUAAAUCUUUAAAAAAGA
Astyanax mexicanus (Mexican tetra) is the source of this 772-nucleotide long non-coding RNA. RefSeq lists it as uncharacterized. The transcript has 4 exons. The record is from RefSeq and is a predicted model, not a curated record. Lineage: Eukaryota; Metazoa; Chordata; Actinopteri; Characiformes; Acestrorhamphidae.